This is an RNA transcript of Manduca sexta (tobacco hornworm), 11535 nucleotides long. It is a transcript of the gene named tyrosine-protein phosphatase Lar, with no coding region annotated. Lineage: Eukaryota; Metazoa; Arthropoda; Insecta; Lepidoptera; Sphingidae. The record is from RefSeq and is a predicted model, not a curated record. The transcript is spliced from 26 exons.
CCGAACAUAGUAGCAAUGAUAGUGAUAGGGUGCGCAAGAUAUUACAAUUUCUAACAUUUUUAUAUAUCAUUUCAAGCCUAGAAAGUUUUAAUAAUAUUAAUUUUAUGCUGCAUAGUAGUUAUAUUUUAAAAAGAAAUGAUAAGGAUUAAAAUUUAUGGAAAUUAUCUGUCAAACAGACAGGUAAAAAUUAGGUCGAGUUAUCUACGCCUAUAAAUUUUUUAACAGUCUGUCUACGGAACGUACCUGCAUAUGGCGGACGCUCAGUUUGUGUUUAUGUCAAUAAGAAACUGAUUUUUAACAUUUGCGCGGGUGUGGAUGAAACAUUUUUUGAUUAAUUAUGUGUUUGUGGAAUCUGUGAAUUGUGUGUUAUUUUUAUGAUAAUGGUUUUCAUCGUUGAACUUUUGGAUAAAUUGAUACGCUCGGUGUAGUUAUACGGACAAUUUAGUUCCAGACCGAGGUUAUCCUGAGAUGGAAGCCGAACCCACACCCGCGCGGCCCGGCGCCGGUAAAAUGCGAGAGCGACGUCGCGCGCUACAUCGCACCGUCGCUCUGCUGUUUGCCUGCCUCCUCUUCCUCAACUGUCAAGUCGACGCUGCUGACCCUCCCGAGAUAACGAUCCGACCUCGAAACAUGCAAGUGCGUGCUAACGGCAUCGCUGCUUUCUACUGCGCGGCGAGAGGCGACCCGAUCCCGAACAUACAGUGGCGCAAGAACGGCAAGAAAGUCUCCAGCAUGCAAACCCGCUACCAAGUGUCGGGAAUGGAGGCGACCGCCGGGCCGGGCGCGAACGGGGCCGUCCUGAGAAUCGAACCCGUGCGCGUGCAACGAGACGACGCGACCUACGAAUGUGUUGCUGAGAACGGUGUCGGUGACGCCGUGACGGCUGUGGCAACGCUCACAGUAUUCGAAGCUGACAAAGUGCCCCCCGGAUUCCCGAACAUCGCGCCGCCGCCCACGAUGAUGGUGGUGGAAGUUGGGCACACGGCCACACUGCCCUGCCAGGCGAGCGGGACUCCCUCGCCCAAGAUCCGCUGGCUCUGGAACUCGCUGCCGCUGGAUGUCGCUUCAAAUCCCAGAUACGCACUGCUCAACGACAAAAUGCAUGGCACGUUGCAAAUAGUCAAGAGCGAAGAGGAAGACAACGGCAAGUUCGAAUGUGUUGCGGAAAACUCUAUCGGCACGGAAUUCUCCAAACCGACCGUGCUGUAUGUAAAAGUGAGGAGAGUGGCGCCGCAGUUCUCGAUACCCCCACCUCCCCGCUCAGAAGUGAUGCUCGGUGGUAACCUGACCCUCAAAUGCGUUGCCUUCGGUGCGCCGAUGCCCACCGUCAAAUGGAGAAAAGGCUUGACAAAAUGGCUGACGCCCGAAGACAAUCCGCCGCUAGGACUGAACAAUCUCAAACUGGAAGAUAUUAGGGAGUCUGCGAACUACACAUGCGAGGCGGCCAGCGUGCUCGGAGUCAUAGAAGCUACCGCAGAGGUGAAAGUGCAAUCGCUUCCCGGUCCGCCCACGGAAGUCAGGCCGUCGGAGAUCACUGCGACCACAGUCCGACUCACUUGGACGUACAACGGCCCCGAGGAACCCCAGUACUACGUCAUACAAUAUAAACCUAAAUACGCUAAUCAGGCCUUUAGUGAAAUAUCAGGAGUAGUCACUCAGUUCUAUGCUGUGACGAAUCUCUCGCCAUACACGGAGUACGAAAUGUACGUCAUAGCUGUCAACAACAUAGGACGCGGACCACCUUCUACUCCCGCCGUCAUCACCACAGGAGAAACUGUGGAUUCAUUAUACGCAGGUGCCAAACCCGGAUCAGCCCCGAGGAACGUGCAAGUACGGCCGCUCAGCUCAAGCACUAUGGUUAUACAGUGGGACGAACCCGAGACUCCUAAUGGUCAAGUGACUGGCUACAAAGUGUACUACACCACGGAUCCGUCGCAGGGUCUUCAAUCAUGGCAUUCGCAAAUGAUGGACAACAACCACCUGACGACGAUCAGCGAGCUGACGCCGCACACGGUGUACACCAUACGAGUUCAGGCGUUCACGUCCGUCGGCCCGGGGCCCAUCUCGGCGCCCGUGCAGGUCAAGACGCAGCAAGGAGUGCCUUCCCAACCGUCGAACCUGAUGGCAGUGGAGGCGGGAGAGACGUCGGUGACGCUCUCGUGGCGCAGGCCGGCGCACGCGGGCGACAACAUCGUCUCAUACGAACUGUACUGGAACGACACGUACGCCAAGGAGCAUCAUAAGAAGCGCAUCCCAAUCACGGAGACGUACACGCUGAACGGGCUGUACCCGAACACGUUGUACUACAUCUGGCUAGCGGCGCGGUCGCAGCGCGGCGAGGGCGCCACAACGCCGCCCAUCGCCAUCAGAACAAAACAAUACGUUCCCGGCGCCCCUCCGAUGAAUGUGACCGCCGUGCCGAUAUCGCCGACCGCCAUCCGCGUGUCGUGGCAACCGCCGCCAGCGGAGCGAGCCAACGGCCGUAUCGCUUACUACAAGCUGCUAUGCGUCGAAUCCGGGAGGGGAGAUUCGGAGGCGACCGUCGUCAAACUAAACCAGACGUCGUUCGUUCUGGACGAGUUAAGACGGUGGACGGAGUACCGCGUGUGGGUGCUCGCGGGCACCAGCGUGGGCGACGGGCCCGCCUCCUACCCGGUCACCGUGCGUACGCACGAAGACGUGCCCGGCGAGCCGCAGGACGUCAAGGUGACUGCGAUCAACUCGACGUCCAUACACGUCACGUGGAAGCCGCCGCAGGAGAAAGAAAAGAACGGCAUCAUACGAGGCUAUCAUGUGCACGUGCAGGAGAUCAGAGAAGAGGGCAAAGGUCUCCUCAACGACCCGAUGCGCUUUAACGUGAUGGACGACACAACACUCGAGCUGAACGUGUCAGGACUCCAGCCGGACACCAGGUACAGCGUGCAAGUCGCCGCGCUCACCAGGAAAGGGGACGGUGACCGCAGUCCCCCUGUCUCGGUGAAGACGCCUGGCGGCGUGCCUAAUAGGCCAAAUGUUAACCUCAAGGUUUUGGAACGAGAUCCCAUAGUAUCAAUAGAACUAGAAUGGCUUAAACCCACCCAAACGUACGGCGAUUUGCUUGGAUACCGUUUAAGAUAUGGUAUAAAAGAUCAACCGCUAGAAGAAGUUAAUUUCCCUGGAACCAAAGUUUCAUCACAUAGGAUAAAUGAUUUGGAGAGAGGUGUACAGUAUGAAUUCCGAGUGGCAGGGAAAAAUCAUAUCGGUAUCGGUCAAGAGUCAAUUAAAUACUGGUUAACGCCAGAGGGGGCGCCGAAGGGACCACCUACGAAUGUCACGUAUCACUUCCAAACCCCAGAUAUCAUUAGUGUUACAUGGGAAGCCCCGAUCAGGGCGGACAGAAGCGGCCAAAUAAAGAAAUAUGACGUCCAGUUUUAUAAGAGGGGUGAUCAGUCUUCAAUAGUAGAAAAGACUACAGAAUUAACAAAAGCUGUAUUCACUGGGUUGGAAGAAGAUGCUCAUUAUGUGUUCAAAGUUCGCGCGUAUACGGAGCAAGGAGCCGGGCCCUACAGCAAAGACCUCACGGCGCACACUGAAAGGGACAUAGGCAGGGCCCCCAUGGCAGUGAAAGCCGUCGCUACCUCGGAAUCUAGUGUAGAAGUUUGGUGGGAAACAUUCCGUUCCAGAAAGAAGAUUAUUGGCUACGUAAUUUUCUAUACGAUGACACCUGUAGAAGAUUUAGAUGAAUGGCUUCAAAAGAGUGUUCACGUAACGCAUUCUGCUGAUUUGGAAAAUUUAGAAAAGUUUGCAGAGUAUGCAGUUGCGGUUGCGGCUAAGACGGCCGAUGGCCUCGGCAGGUUAUCGGAGAAAGUCACAGUGAAAGUUAAGCCCGAUGAAGUGCCUUUACAUCUUAGAGCCCAAGAUGUAUCCACGCAUUCUAUGACAUUGUCAUGGUCCCCACCAUUACGCUUAAAUCCCGUUAAUUAUAAGAUAUCUUAUAACGCAAUAAAAGAGUUUGUUGAUUCUCUUGGAAUGACCCAAACGCAGGAAAUUCCAAGAAGAGAAAUAGUAGUAAAACAUGAUAGGACGUCGUAUUCUAUCAAUGAUCUAUCGCCAUUCACAACGUACAAUGUUAAUGUAAGUGCCAUACCAAAUGACGAUUCGUAUAGACCGCCAACAAAAAUCACUGUCACUACACAAAUGGCUGCGCCGAAGCCAAUGGUGAAGCCUGAUUUUUACGGUGUUGUUGAAAACGAAAUACUCGUCAUUCUACCUCAAGCUUCGGAAGAAUAUGGACCCAUAUCGCAUUAUUAUUUAGUUGUAGUACCUGAUGAUAAAGCUCAUAAUCAUAAGAAUCCUGAUCAGUUCCUAACAGAUGAUUUGAUAAAGAAUAAUAUGAGAACAGAUGAUGAAAAUGCACCUUAUAUUGCUGCGAAGUUUUUACAAAGAAAUAUAUUAUACACUUUCCAUCUUGGUAACGACGAAAUGUAUGAAGGAUUUUUGAAUCGAAAAUUGAAUCUGAAUAAAAGGUACCGAGUGUUCGUGAGGGCUGUCGUGGAUACUCCUCAAAAGCAUCUCUAUACGUCCAGUCCGUUCUCGGAAUAUUUAUCUUUAGACAUGCGCGAGGCACCACCUGGUGAAGAACCCAGCAGACCUGAUCCGAAAGACAUAAAUGGAGACCCCGAAAUACGAAUCGAAGAAAAUAGAAAGGAAGCUGGCAUGCUUUGGGUAAUAGGACCGAUCAUAGCCGCUUUAAUGCUAUCUUUGUGUCUAAUAGUAAUGUUUAUAAUGAAGAGAAGAAGACAACCUUGCAAGACACCUGACCAGGCCGCUGUGACACGGCCGUUAAUGUCAGCUGAUGUUGGAUUCGGCGCUCCAUCCGAUCCAGUAGAAAUGAGACGACUUAACUUUCAAACACCAGCCAUGAUAUCUCAUCCUCCUAUUCCUAUAUCCGAACUCGGUGACCACAUCGAAAGGCUAAAAGCAAACGACAAUUUGAAAUUCUCUCAGGAAUACGAAAGUAUUGAACCCGGACAGCAAUUCACGUGGGACCAUUCGAACAUGGACGUUAACAAACCGAAAAAUCGAUAUGCAAAUGUGAUUGCUUACGACCACAGUCGCGUAAUACUGCAACCUAUUGAUGGAAUUCUUGGCAGUGACUAUAUUAACGCAAAUUACUGUGAUGGCUAUCGAAAACACAAUGCUUACGUCGCGACGCAAGGUCCGUUGCAGGAAACAUUCGCCGAUUUCUGGAGAAUGUGUUGGGAACUGCGCACGUCUACGAUAGUAAUGAUGACUAAAUUAGAGGAAAGAACACGUAUCAAGUGUGACCAGUACUGGCCUAGUCGCGGUAGCGAAACGUACGGCAUGAUGACUGUGACCAUUGCGGAGGUUCAGGAGCUUUCUACUUAUUGUAUUCGCACAUUCCAAGUGACGAGAAACGGUGGCGCGGAACGUCGGGAAAUCAAACAAUUGCAGUUCACGGCUUGGCCUGACCACGGUGUACCGGACCAUCCAGCGCCAUUCCUGCAAUUCUUGAGACGAGUGCGAGCUCUGAAUCCCCCUGACGCAGGUCCUUUGGUAGUGCAUUGCUCGGCGGGCGUCGGUCGUACUGGCUGCUUCAUCGUUAUCGACUCUAUGCUUGAGAGAGCACGACACGAGCGUACUGUCGACAUUUACGGCCACGUGACAUGUUUGCGAGCCCAACGCAACUACAUGGUACAAACCGAAGAUCAAUACAUAUUCAUCCACGACGCGUUGCUGGAGGCGGUCGUCUGUGGCGACACUGAGGUGCCGGCGCGCAACCUCCACGCGCACAUUCAAAAGCUAAUGCGCAUCGAUUCGAUCGAGAACAUAACAGGAAUGGAAUUGGAGUUUAAAAAGUUGGCGAACAUGAAGGCGGAUUCGAGCCGUUUCGUGUCGGCCAGUCUUCCGUGCAACAAACACAAGAACAGGCUGGUGCACAUCUUGCCGUACGAGUCGACCCGCGUGUGCCUCACGCCGCGUGACGGCUCGGACUACAUCAACGCGUCGUUCGUGGACGGGUACCGCUACCGCGCCGCGUACAUCGCCACGCAGGGCCCGCUGCCCGACACCACUGAUGACUUCUGGCGCAUGCUGUGGGAGCACAACUCCACCAUCAUCGUGAUGCUCACCAAGCUCAAGGAGAUGGGCAGGGAAAAAUGUCAUCAGUAUUGGCCGUCGGAUCGUUCUGUUCGCUACCAAUGCUUCGUGGUCGACCCCAUCGCUGAAUACAAUAUGCCUCAGUACAUCUUGAGGGAAUUCAAGGUAACGGACGCGCGCGACGGCGCGUCUCGGACGGUGCGUCAGUUCCAGUUCACGGAUUGGCCGGAGCAGGGCGUGCCCAAGAGCGGCGAGGGCUUCAUCGACUUCCUCGGCCAGGUGCACAAGACCAAGGAACAGUUUGGACAGGACGGACCCAUCACUGUACAUUGCAGCGCCGGCGUGGGUCGCACGGGCGUGUUCAUCACGCUGUCGACGGUGCUGGAGCGCAUGCAGUACGAGGGCGUGGUGGACGUGUUCCAGACCGUGCGCACGCUCCGCACGCAGCGCCCCGCCAUGGUGCAGACCGAGGUACGCACCGCGCUCACAUACUCUUCCACUAACUACAUUACAUUAGCUACAACUACUGCUGUCGACGGUGCUGGAGCGCAUGCAGUACGAGGGCGUGGUGGACGUGUUCCAGACCGUGCGCACGCUCCGCACGCAGCGCCCCGCCAUGGUGCAGACCGAGGUACGCACCGCGCUCACAUACUCUUCCACUAACUACAUUACAUUAGCUACAACUACUGCUGUCGACGGUGCUGGAGCGCAUGCAGUACGAGGGCGUGGUGGACGUGUUCCAGACCGUGCGCACGCUCCGCACGCAGCGCCCCGCCAUGGUGCAGACCGAGGUACGCACCGCGCUCACAUACUCUUCCACUAACUACAUUACAUUAGCUACAACUACUGCUGUCGACGGUGCUGGAGCGCAUGCAGUACGAGGGCGUGGUGGACGUGUUCCAGACCGUGCGCACGCUCCGCACGCAGCGCCCCGCCAUGGUGCAGACCGAGGAUCAAUACGAGUUCUGCUACCGCGCUGCGCUGGAGUACCUCGGCUCGUUCGACCACUACGCCAACUGACGCUGAGACGUGCUCGUCUGAGCGCAUGCGCACGCGCACGCACGUACUUAACACUAUGUAUGUACACUAUAACGAUUUGGGACGGUUGUUGGUUUGUGUUUUACGAGGACUGGACAUAUUUGUGUGCUUCCGUUUUGUUCGUGUGACAAGAAUAUAAAGAUAUUAUACUUUUUGUUACUCGAUUAUACGUAAAUCCUUAUGACAUUUUGUAUUUUAAAUGAUCGAAGUGAAUAAUUUUCGAACGAUCGAACAAAUAGAACGAACGUUCAAAAAAACGUAAUUUUCUCUGCACGUAGUACAAAUUCAACAUCAACAUUCAGUUUGAAGAUUAUAGUGAACAAAUAUCUCUGUGACGAUGGAAACAAGCAAAAACAAAGUAUUAUAAUAAUAUAGUCCAAUACAAUCCGAAAUAUCUUGAACUGAAGCCAAGAAAUAAGCGGUCUUGUAUUUGGCAAACCACUACCAUUAUUAGACGAAUGCAAUAUCUGAAAUAAAAACAAUGUACAACGUUCCUAUAGGCUAAAUCUUCAGUGGAAAAUGUGAUAUACUUAUAAACUACAUAAUUAAUUUAAAAUCUCACAGUAAGAUAUUAUGAUAAUAUGGCUGGAUAUCAACAAUUACUCUGGCAUUUCUAGACCAAAAAUAGGAAAUAAAUAUUUGCCAAUCAUAUUUGUGGUGUGGUGUGCAAUUUCUCGUUGCAGAUGUUUUGUAGAGACCCAAUACAUGGUGUAAGCAUCAGAAAUUCUCGAAUACAAGUCCUGCAAACAAAUAAUGUUCAUUAAAAAAUAUUUUUCGUUCAAAAUCAGACAGACAUGGAACGAUUUUUUUACCGUUAUAUAAUUAUUUGUAUAAUAUAUUUUCAAAAAUUCUAUAAAAAUAAAUCAAAUAUAUAAAUCACCGAAAAAAAGUUAACAACAUCAAAAAAAAAUAUACAUAAAUAUUAAACAUUCAAUGCUUUUAAAAGCAACGAACAACCGUCCCAACGUCGAAAUGUUUUGUUGUCCCUACCCUGUUGUAAGUCAGUGCGGUUCCGGUGUGAACCGGGGCCUGCCCUAGUGAUGUACUGCCCACGUCGACUGAAAGUAAAAAACAUGUUAAUUUGAGGCUAUUACAUGUAUGAGUGCCUAAGAAAGCUACUUAUGAUGUAUAUUUACGAAUGUGACCACUUUUAAAAUCAUGAUUGUGAGUCGGAAGGGUAAUAAACGUAAUUAAAUAUUAUCCUUAUGUCUAACUUAUGAUAUAAACUAAAAAGGCGGUGGUUCGCGCUAUUUUUAAUCUAAAACGGAACAGUAUGAAAUGUUGAAGUCCAUAUAAACAGUUUAUAGAUGCAUUUAAAUAUUAUAUUACGACAGGAUUAUGAGAAGUAUAUUACGGGCAAUAUAAUGAUUAUGCCGACGUUUAUGAUUUGCACGGAGGUACAAUUCACAUUACGGCCACUUUAACGAACGAACGAGUGCGUUAGCGUUCCUCCGAUCGUUCGUUCGUAUGAUCAAUCGUUCGUACGAUCGAUCGUUCGUUCGUUCGUUCGUUCGUAACGUCAGUUGUUCCUCAAAACGUAACUUAGUGAAUGAAAACAGUGCGCUUAGAGACUUAACUAUACGCGUUAUAUUAUUCAAUUCUGAUCGUCACAUACAAUAUAUACAAACAUGAUAUUGUAAAAUGUAUAAAUAGUUAUUGCAGCUGUAAUUAGAAGUUUAUUUUUCAUAUCGGGUGUUAAAGAAGAAUAUACGUUUAAGUAGUGUAAAUUGUGGUAACACGUUUCAUUAUGCAAUAUAUGAUAAAGAAACUCUUUAGACGAAUCGGCUGUGUCGUGUGUUUGUGUCAGUCCUGUGCGUAGUAGGUAAUGUUGUGUAAAUAACUGUUUAUUUUUUUAAAGAAGUACGUUUAGUUUGCCAGCGCCCUGUUUUUUUAGUCUUGCCCUGUGAACCAGCCAGUUAUAAAGACUUGGCCGUCAAGUGACAAUCUGAAUUGCAAUACAAAAAAAAGACAAUGUAAAUGCUUUUUUGUGUAGUUUUUUUUUCGUUAGUUGUAUGUUAAUUUGUAAUGUCAACGCUUGCUUAGGUGAUGAUCGUGAUUCGAUGACAUAUCUAAUGUGUAGGUAGAAGUAAAUGUUUUCAUUGAUGUGGUAAUGUUUUAAAUGAAUUAUACAAUUAACGAUUCGACUGAUUUUGACGAAUCGCGCAACUCUAACGUGUCAUGUUAGAAAUGUAAACAGACGUUACCUGGAACGGUGUUUUGACGGAAGCCAUUUUUUAUUAGUUCACUAUUUAUCGCUUCUGUGACGGAUCGAAACAAUAUAUUUUCCUUAUAAUAUGUGAACGUCACUGCCACGAAUCUACCACACUAUAUUAAGCUAUCAUUAAGUGUAGUAUGUUAUUUAAUCUUAACAGUAACCCCUUGCAUAGUGAAUGUAUAAGAGUUUAGGUUUUUCACUCGUUUUAUACAAUAUACCCUGUAACUUAUAUCAAUCUUUUUACGUAUAAGUUAAACUUUGAGCUUGUAUGUAAAUUUAGGGAAUAAUACGGUGUAACGCGGUCUUCAUGUAGAUAUGCGAACAAUUUAAAUACUACUCAUUUGUGAGAGAGAGUUAUAAUUGUGUGUGCGUCUCGUUUCGGUCGCGUCGUACGACCGGAACGCACGAACUGCCAAGCGAGUGAAGCUUUUGAAAAAAAAUCAAAAAAAUAAUUACUAACAAUAAUACGAAACGUACGUAGAUUUUAAUGAGAGUAAUUGUUAAAAUGAGGUUAUAGUGAAAAUUUAAUACUCGUUGAUAAAUCAUGUUUGUCGAGGAGCAAAUACAUGAUAGUGGACAGCUUUGUUUUGUUAACAGCCAGUGUAUCACAUCAAGCUUUAAACAUACAUCAUUCCUACAUGUUUUAUUUUGUCUUGCCGCUUGUUAUGAUUUUUUAAUGUGUUAUAAAUAUAUUAUCGAAAUAAUUGAAUUAAAUUCCAUGAAUUACAUUUUUUUUUUCGAGAUUUCCUCCGAUUUGUGACCCGCGAUUUAUUUAAAAAUCAAAUACAAAUACAAAAAAGUUUUCAGACGUUGUAAUAUUCAACUAAAAAGGUAUUCUAAUCCCUCAUUUUAAAGUUCAAAUAAUCCGAGCAAUGGAAUGAAUACCAAUGUGUAGAAUAAUAUAUUGAACGCACACUGAGAUCUCUCUUGUACAGUUAUUGAUACAGUUACUCGUAAUAGGUUUAGGUUUAACUUUCGAACUGUUUACAGCGAACUUACAUUACCAUAUUGUAUUUUAUAUCCUCUAUCCUAUCCUAUAAAACCGCAGAAUUUGCCGCUGAAUGUAAAAAUAUAUUUUUCGCAUAAAAAGGACACCCUAUAUUGUGUUUUCCUACAAACAGCUAACUAUAUUCCUAUUGUACUUUAUAAUUUUGGCCAAAUGGCUGUUUUGGUUUUUAUAUGAUAAAAAUACAUCUUUAAAUUAUUGAAUAUUUUUUUUAAUCCCAAUUCCUAUAUGUAUAAUAAUCAUGCCAUUGUAUACCCAUAAUCAGUCGAUUGUACAAAUAGCAGUCAGUACAAAAUAUAAUAAUACAGAGUGUUCAAAAACUCAUUUAAUUCGUUCAUAAAUAAUGGUAAAGACGCCGUAACCAGUAUCGAAGGUGAUUUAUUUUAGUUUUGUUUCCAAUAGUAAUUAACAUUGUCAUGCCAUAACGAGGUGCUUCGUUCUGUUUUGUUAGUACCGUGUUGUUUAAAUCUACAAUCAAUGUUUCGUUUUAUGAUCAUGGAAUUUCGUUUCGUACAAGAAAGACUGAUUUACAAUAAUUUCGAUGUGUUUUUUAAUUAAUUUGAAAUUUGUGUAAUUGUAAUAAAUGAAUGAACAAUGUGUUGUAAUAUUUGUUGUAAUCCUAUAAUUAUGUGUUUGUAGUUUUAAUUGUAAUUUACAUAUUUUUUUGUGAAACGCACCGUUUGUUUGGGAACUCUUUGGACGCAACCAAAUAAAUGAAUGAAGAAAAUUUAUUUUUGAAAAUAGCAAUAAAUUAAUAUAAAGCAAUUGUUUUUACACAAAAUGAAAUAGAUUUUUUAUGAAAUUCAAAGACUUCCCAAACGAGACGGAUAUAAACUCCACGACCGAACAAAUUUAGCAUUUAUUAUGAACAAAAUAAAACGCCAUUUAGCGUGUAAUAAUGCAAAAAAAAGGUACGCCAUCCGAAAAAUACUUUUUUGAUCAUAAAAUAAUUUGCAUUUUUGAACGAAUUGGCAUUAUGUGUAAGGCCGUAGCUUUAAAGAAUGUGUUAGUGCAAAUAAAAUGGCGCACGCAAGAUGGCUGGCGGGGAGACUCGUCAGUGUACCUAGAGGUUGGUAGAUCAUGUUUAUUUUGUAAAAUACCCGCGCUGCGUCUCGGGCACAGUGGAUUCGCAAAUUAUACAUAUGUAUAUGAAGAAAUAAAUUUAUGUGAGACCAUA